AAACGACUCUCGGCAACGGAUAUCUCGGCUCUCGCAUCGAUGAAGAACGUAGCGAAAUGCGAUACUUGGUGUGAAUUGCAGAAUCCCGCGAACCAUCGAGUCUUUGAACGCAAGUUGCGCCCGAAGCCAUUAGGUCGAGGGCACGUCUGCCUGGGCGUCUCACG
This 164-nucleotide ribosomal RNA is filed under the name Camellia brachygyna. RNAcentral's name for it is "5.8S ribosomal RNA". It matches the Rfam family "5.8S ribosomal RNA". Rfam says of the family: 5.8S ribosomal RNA (5.8S rRNA) is a component of the large subunit of the eukaryotic ribosome. It is transcribed by RNA polymerase I as part of the 45S precursor that also contains 18S and 28S rRNA. Functionally, it is thought that 5.8S rRNA may be involved in ribosome translocation. The record is from RNAcentral. RNAcentral also lists the same sequence under 2 other names. Lineage: Eukaryota; Viridiplantae; Streptophyta; Magnoliopsida; Ericales; Theaceae.